Trifolium pratense (red clover) is the source of this 738-nucleotide long non-coding RNA. RefSeq lists it as uncharacterized. The transcript is spliced from 2 exons. NCBI's taxonomy places the organism in Eukaryota, Viridiplantae, Streptophyta, Magnoliopsida, Fabales, Fabaceae. The record is from RefSeq and is a predicted model, not a curated record.
UAUUAAUAAUGCUUAGAAAUAGUGAAUUAUGCUAUUCAUAUCUUUGACUUAUCAUACCAAAUUUAUUUGUUUUUUUCUUUGUGAGGAUGACAUGUUUUGGUCCUAUUAUUACGAGGAUAGUAUUCGAAAGAUACUCUUUGAGGGGAUUUAUCUAUCUCUCUCAAGACUUAUAUAUUUGCAUCCAAUAUCCUCAUUCACUUUCCACACACACAUAUAUAUGUUCUAGCUUCUAUUAUAUUUGUUCUAAGAAAUAUCAAUUAUAUGGCUUAUUUUAAGAAGGUUAUAUUGAACCUGGCUUUGCUGUUUGUGAUUAUGUUGUCAAUGAAAGUGGCAAAAACGGCAAGCGUACCCCUAUGGGAAAUUGAGCCUCAACACAAAACUUAUGGACGGCUACGUUAUACUAUUCAUGAUCAACCACACAAGCACAACUUUAGUCCUCCUCCUCCUCCACGUCGAACUCCCCCUCCUCCUCCUCCUCCUUAUAUAUUUUGAUGAUGAUCCAAAACACUGGAGUAAUCGCGAUGGCAAAAAAACAAGUUCGAAACAAUUAAAAAGGGAAUAAAAGAAAAGGUUCAAACAUUAUGAUCCAUAGAUGACUGUGAUAUAGGUUUGAGUACCUUGUACUUCAUUUACAUACUUAUGUUGUAUAAAAAUGCAUGUGUUGCCGGAAACAACAAAUGUUGUAGUGAUAUAUAAGUUAUUUUGUUUAAAUAUAUUUUGACCUUUUAUUUUCUCUAA